RNAcentral lists this ribosomal RNA (366 nucleotides) under uncultured eukaryote. RNAcentral describes it as "partial 18S ribosomal RNA". It matches the Rfam family "Eukaryotic small subunit ribosomal RNA", at positions 592 to 976 of the family's 1831-position model. The record is from RNAcentral.
CAAUAGCGUAUAUUAACGUUGUUGCAGUUAAAAAGCUCGUAGUUGGAGUUCUGGAGGGAGCGUCGGCCCGUAUUUACGAGUGCGUGACGUCUCUGUCCAUCCUUGCGGGAAGGCACGGCAUUGAUUUGUUGUGUCGGAUCGCAUCAUUUACUGUGAAAAAAUUAGAGUGUUCAAAGCAGGCUUUCGCUUGAAUACAUUAGCAUGGAAUAAUAAGAUAGGACUUUGGUGCUAUUUUGUUGGUUGAGCCUAAAGUAAUGAUUAAUAGGGAUAGUUGGGGGCACCUGUAUUGCGUUGUCAGAGGUGAAAUUCUUGGAUUUACGCAAGACAAACAGCUGCGAAAGCGUCUGCCAAGGAUGUUUUCAUUAA